This 490-nucleotide ribosomal RNA is filed under the name Fusarium sp. AQG28. RNAcentral describes it as "eukaryotic LSU rRNA". The stretch from base 116 to 269 matches the Rfam family "5.8S ribosomal RNA". The record is from RNAcentral. Lineage: Eukaryota; Fungi; Ascomycota; Sordariomycetes; Hypocreales; Nectriaceae.
ACCUAUACGUUGCCUCGGCGGAUCAGCCCGCGCCCCGUAAAACGGGACGGCCCGCCCGAGGACCCUAAACUCUGUUUUUAGUGGAACUUCUGAGUAAAACAAACAAAUAAAUCAAAACUUUCAACAACGGAUCUCUUGGUUCUGGCAUCGAUGAAGAACGCAGCAAAAUGCGAUAAGUAAUGUGAAUUGCAGAAUUCAGUGAAUCAUCGAAUCUUUGAACGCACAUUGCGCCCGCCAGUAUUCUGGCGGGCAUGCCUGUUCGAGCGUCAUUUCAACCCUCAAGCUCAGCUUGGUGUUGGGACUCGCGGUAACCCGCGUUCCCCAAAUCGAUUGGCGGUCACGUCGAGCUUCCAUAGCGUAGUAAUCAUACACCUCGUUACUGGUAAUCGUCGCGGCCACGCCGUAAAACCCCAACUUCUGAAUGUUGACCUCGGAUCAGGUAGGAAUACCCGCUGAACUUAAGCAUAUCAAUAAGCCGGAGGAAAGGUUC